RNAcentral lists this unclassified non-coding RNA (253 nucleotides) under uncultured Bacteriovoracaceae bacterium. RNAcentral's name for it is "contains 16S-23S intergenic spacer region". It matches the Rfam family "Bacterial small subunit ribosomal RNA", at positions 524 to 776 of the family's 1533-position model. Lineage: Bacteria; Pseudomonadati; Bdellovibrionota; Bacteriovoracia; Bacteriovoracales; Bacteriovoracaceae. The record is from RNAcentral.
UACGGAGGGUGCAAGCGUUGUUCGGAUUUACUGGGCGUAAAGCGCGCGCAGGCGGAUUAGCAAGUCAGAUGUGAAAUCCCGGGGCUCAACCCCGGAACUGCGUCUGAAACUGUUAGUCUAGAGUCUCAUAGGGGGCAGGGGAAUUUCACGUGUAGGGGUAAAAUCCGUAGAGAUGUGAAGGAACACCCGUGGCGAAGGCGCCUGCCUGGAUGAGCACUGACGCUGAGGCGCGAAAGCGUGGGGAGCAAACAGG